This is a long non-coding RNA of Phyllostomus discolor (pale spear-nosed bat), 238 nucleotides long. RefSeq lists it as uncharacterized. Lineage: Eukaryota; Metazoa; Chordata; Mammalia; Chiroptera; Phyllostomidae. The record is from RefSeq and is a predicted model, not a curated record. The transcript is spliced from 3 exons.
UCCACAGUCUCCCCUUAAGAAGUCCUGACUGCACAGCCCCUCACCAUGGACUAGAGCUGGAGAGCCCUCUUCCUGGUGGCAGUGGCUACAGGUGUCCACUCCCAGGUGCAGCUCAUGCAGUCUGGGGCUGAGGUGAGGAAGCCUGGGACCUCAGUGAAGGUCUCCUGCAAGGCUUCUGGAUACACCUCCAGCAGCUACUGGAUGCACUGGCUCACAGAACAAGGAUCUUCCCAUGUGU